GGCGAUGUGGACAAGCUGGCUAAGUCACCCGUCUUUCAAGCGGGUCAUCGCGGGUUCGAAUCCCGCCAUCGCUACCA
RNAcentral lists this transfer RNA (77 nucleotides) under Acidobacteriota bacterium. RNAcentral describes it as "Acidobacteria bacterium tRNA-Glu". It matches the Rfam family "tRNA". Rfam says of the family: Transfer RNA (tRNA) molecules are approximately 80 nucleotides in length. Lineage: Bacteria; Pseudomonadati; Acidobacteriota. The record is from RNAcentral.